Molecule: long non-coding RNA, 404 nt
Filed under: Panax ginseng (ginseng)
Lineage: Eukaryota; Viridiplantae; Streptophyta; Magnoliopsida; Apiales; Araliaceae
Description: long non-coding RNA (PGIN_LNC013414)
Source: RNAcentral
CCAACCAUCAGUGGCACAUGCAACUCUGCCACCCAGCCUACACAGUCAUCAGGUUAUCCAGCCUAUCAUACUCCUUCUGACUGUGUGAGAGCAAUUUGUCAGGAUCAUGAUCUUCUUCGUAUACUAGGCGGACAUCUACAGUCUUUGAGUCCUGAUGAGUUAGCAGAGGCAGUGGCGGCAGCGGCAGCAGCAGCACAGCAGCAGAAUGACGACCAGGUAUAUAUAUAUCAUUUAUUGUUUAGCUACAUUGUCUUAUAUGUUUAUAGUCUUUGAGUCACUGUCUUACUUAUAUGUUUCAAUACAUUGUCUAUUGUUUAGCUUUCCCUAAGUCGUAGCAGUAUCAACACAUGUAACAUAUAUGUUUUAUUACUUUGUUUAUUAAAGUAUCAUAAUUUGGAUGAUCC